This 253-nucleotide ribosomal RNA is filed under the name uncultured bacterium. RNAcentral describes it as "partial 16S ribosomal RNA". It matches the Rfam family "Bacterial small subunit ribosomal RNA", at positions 524 to 776 of the family's 1533-position model. The record is from RNAcentral.
UACGUAGGGUGCAAGCGUUGUCCGGAAUUAUUGGGCGUAAAGAGCUCGUAGGCGGUUUGUCGCGUCUGCUGUGAAAACUCGGGGCUUAACCCCGGGCCUGCAGUGGGUACGGGCAGACUAGAGUGUGGUAGGGGAGAUCGGAAUUCCUGGUGUAGCGGUGGAAUGCGCAGAUAUCAGGAGGAACACCGGUGGCGAAGGCGGAUCUCUGGGCCAUAACUGACGCUGAGGAGCGAAAGCAUGGGGAGCGAACAGG